GACGAAAGCUGGCGGCGUGCUUAAUACAUGCAAGUAGGACGCAGUUGCGAACGAGUGAGUAACGCGUAGGUAACUACCUAUUAGAGGGGGAUAAAUCUUGGAAACGAUAGCUACUACCGCCUACUAGUCGAUGGACCUGCGUUGUAUUAGCCAGUAGGUAGGGUAAUGGGCUAACUAGGCAACGAUACAUAGCCGGACUUAGGGGGUGAACGGCCAAACGGGGACUGAGACACGGCCCAGAACCCUACGGGAGGGAGCAGUAGGGAAUCUUCGGCAAUGGGGGGAACCCUGACCGAGCAACGCCGCGUGAGUGAAGAAGGGUUUCGGAUCGGAAAGCUCUGUUGUUAAGGAAGCGGUACUUAACCAGAAAGGGACGGCUAACUACGUGCCAGCAGCCGCGGUAAUAC
This 407-nucleotide ribosomal RNA is filed under the name uncultured bacterium. RNAcentral describes it as "partial 16S ribosomal RNA". It matches the Rfam family "Bacterial small subunit ribosomal RNA", at positions 28 to 526 of the family's 1533-position model. The record is from RNAcentral.